AGAGUUUGAUCAUGGCUCAGGAUGAAGCUAGCUACAGGCUUAACACAUGCAAGUCGAGGGGAAACGACAUCGAAAGCUUGCUUUUGAUGGGCGUCGACCGGCGCACGGGUGAGUAACGCGUAUCCAACCUGCCCACCACUUGGGGAUAACCUUGCGAAAGUAAGACUAAUACCCAAUGACGUCUCUAGAAGACAUCUGAAAGAGAUUAAAGAUUUAUCGGUGAUGGAUGGGGAUGCGUCUGAUUAGCUUGUUGGCGGGGUAACGCCGCAAGGCUACGAUCAGUAGGGGUUCUGAGAGGAAGGUCCCCCANAUUGGAACUGAGACACGGUCCAAACUCCUACGGGAGGCA
Molecule: ribosomal RNA, 349 nt
Filed under: uncultured bacterium
Lineage: Bacteria
Description: bacterial SSU rRNA
Rfam family: Bacterial small subunit ribosomal RNA
Source: RNAcentral